UAGCGCGAAAGCGUUGCUUGUUUGGGAACCUUGAUUUAUGUCGCAAACUGAGUUUUCGUUCAAAGAUAUUGGGAUUUGGGAUCUUGAGUGUGCGGUAACACCUCAGGGUAAUAAGAGUGAUGCUCUACCUGAUUAUCCAACAGUGGAAAGUCUUUUUCCUUCUGAUCUGAGUUUUUCACAUACUUUUUUCCAAAGGAAAGUGUUUCCAGUACCGCCAUGGCCUUAUACAAAUAUUAGCUUUCCAAUGAUGUUCU
This 254-nucleotide long non-coding RNA is filed under the name Oryza brachyantha (malo sina). RNAcentral's name for it is "long non-coding RNA (OBRA_LNC003624)". Lineage: Eukaryota; Viridiplantae; Streptophyta; Magnoliopsida; Poales; Poaceae. The record is from RNAcentral.